Molecule: long non-coding RNA, 223 nt
Filed under: Gossypium barbadense (sea-island cotton)
Lineage: Eukaryota; Viridiplantae; Streptophyta; Magnoliopsida; Malvales; Malvaceae
Description: long non-coding RNA (GBAR_LNC017614)
Source: RNAcentral
UAUUUUCUGCCGAUUUGGUCCCAGUUUAUUUUCUUGCCUUUUCUGCCGAUUUGCUCCCCCGAUUCUUUUCUUUUCUAUUUCGGCCGAUUUGCUCACAGUUUCUGCCGAUUUGCGUCAUCGGUUAGCCUAUGUUUCCCGAUAGAUUAAUAUCCUUUUCUAUUGUAGAUGAAAACCAAAACUUUCGAGGUAAAUAUGAUCUAUUGUUUUUAUCUAAUCGGUUUCC